Cynoglossus semilaevis (tongue sole) is the source of this 967-nucleotide long non-coding RNA. RefSeq lists it as uncharacterized. The record is from RefSeq and is a predicted model, not a curated record. NCBI's taxonomy places the organism in Eukaryota, Metazoa, Chordata, Actinopteri, Pleuronectiformes, Cynoglossidae. The transcript has 5 exons.
GUGAGUUUUUAAAAGAAAAUGCUGACACUAAACUUGAUCAACAAUGUUUGCACUGAACAGAUACGUUGGGAGUUCUGCACACGGAGAGCAGGUCGAAGUUGUCAAGCGUCGGAGUCCAUUCCUGAAACGGAAAGACAAGAUUGAUCGUCAAAGUACAAGACGGUGAACAAGCUAAAGUUCAAGCUAACGCUCAAGCUAACGCUAACGCUCAAGCUAACGCUCAAGCUAACGCUCAAGCUAACGCUCAAGUUCAAGAUCAAGUUCAAGUUCAAGAUCAAGUUCAAGAUCAAGUUCAAGAUCAAGUUCAAGGUCUUCAACACGAUCCUGUCACUAUGUACUUGUCGUCCGGAGAGACGUCGCAGCUCAGCACAGACGAGGACUCCUUGGACUGGGAGCCAGGCAGGAAACAAGGCCACGCAGCCAGGAGGGAGAGACGGAGAUAUGACGAUGGAUGGAUGGAGACAGAUGGAGGGGACGAGGCAGAGAAAGAGAGAGACAACUGCACGGCUCCAGGAUGCUGACUCAUUCAUCUGCUUCAGUGUGAAACAAGCUGCUCUUUAUCUCCUUUUUUCUCCUCUCUCUGUCUCCCUCUGGAGACAAGCAGCCUCAUUAACUGCAGGUUUAAGCAUCACUGGCAGCACAUUACUGAUGGCUGCACAACUUCCCUUCUUUUCUGGCACGUGUCUGCAGGACCAGACCUGGACACCUGGCUACAGAGGAUCUGAGGUGUAGGGGUGAAGAUGAAGGUCCUCAAAGACCUGUUCUCGUCUCCUACCUGGAAAAUGCUGGCUCCGUACGGUGUCCUCCACGCAUUCAGAAGAUUGUCUUUUCCUGUGCUCACAAACCAUUUGCCUAAAAACACACAGACACACAGGAGGUCAGAGAAGGAGGACCUGAGCUGAUGGGAUGGUUUGAGGAUAAAAUUAUUGUAUUGGGAUUUCUAAGUAAUGCUGUUUGUUGUUUUUUU